GGUGAGUAAUGUCUGGGAAACUGCCUGAUGGAGGGGGAUAACUACUGGAAACGGUAGCUAAUACCGCAUAACGUCGCAAGACCAAAGAGGGGGACCUUCGGGCCUCUUGCCAUCGGAUGUGCCCAGAUGGGAUUAGCUAGUAGGUGGGGUAACGGCUCACCUAGGCGACGAUCCCUAGCUGGUCUGAGAGGAUGACCAGCCACACUGGAACUGAGACACGGUCCAGACUCCUACGGGAGGCAGCAGUGGGGAAUAUUGCACAAUGGGCGCAAGCCUGAUGCAGCCAUGCCGCGUGUAUGAAGAAGGCCUUCGGGUU
Molecule: ribosomal RNA, 316 nt
Filed under: Escherichia coli
Lineage: Bacteria; Pseudomonadati; Pseudomonadota; Gammaproteobacteria; Enterobacterales; Enterobacteriaceae
Description: bacterial SSU rRNA
Rfam family: Bacterial small subunit ribosomal RNA
Source: RNAcentral